Molecule: non-coding RNA, 235 nt
Organism: Chiloscyllium plagiosum (whitespotted bambooshark)
Lineage: Eukaryota; Metazoa; Chordata; Chondrichthyes; Orectolobiformes; Hemiscylliidae
Source: RefSeq, a predicted model, not a curated record
GCCCCCACCCCUGCUCCUUUUGGACAGUUAGUUGCACCGCAUUUCUCCAGCAGCCUGCAGCGCUGCACAGAAUCCAGCUCAGGACAGGCUAAGAUGCUGCCAGACCUGAUUAUCGACUGUGAGGAGGACAGUGCAGGAUGUCAGAGGUUCACUGAUAAACUGGUGAAAUGGCAAACACAUAGCAGAAAGCCCUGUUCCUUCAGUGAUGCCACCAGGGGCAUGGUGCGAGUGUCCA